RNAcentral lists this non-coding RNA (21 nucleotides) under Arabidopsis thaliana (thale cress). The record is from RNAcentral. Lineage: Eukaryota; Viridiplantae; Streptophyta; Magnoliopsida; Brassicales; Brassicaceae.
CGAAGUGACCACCAUAUGCUG